Molecule: ribosomal RNA, 253 nt
Filed under: uncultured bacterium
Lineage: Bacteria
Description: partial 16S ribosomal RNA
Rfam family: Bacterial small subunit ribosomal RNA
Source: RNAcentral
UACGUAGGUGGCAAGCGUUGUCCGGAAUUAUUGGGCGUAAAGCGCGCGCAGGCGGUCCUUUAAGUCUGAUGUGAAAGCCCACGGCUCAACCGUGGAGGGUCAUUGGAAACUGGGGGACUUGAGUGCAGAAGAGGAGAGUGGAAUUCCACGUGUAGCGGUGAAAUGCGUAGAGAUGUGGAGGAACACCAGUGGCGAAGGCGACUCUCUGGUCCGGUACUGACGCUGAGGUGCGAAAGCGUGGGGAGCAAACAGG